Molecule: ribosomal RNA, 264 nt
Filed under: uncultured bacterium
Lineage: Bacteria
Description: partial 16S ribosomal RNA
Rfam family: Bacterial small subunit ribosomal RNA
Source: RNAcentral
ACUUAGCGGCGGACGGGUGAGUAACGCGUGGGUAACCUGCCUUAUACAGGGGGAUAACAGUUAGAAAUGACUGCUAAUACCGCAUAAGCGCACGGGAACGCAUGUUUCUGUGUGAAAAACUGAGGUAGUAUAAGAUGGGCCCGCGUCUGAUUAGCUAGUUGGUGGGGUAACGGCCUACCAAGGCGACGAUCAGUAGCCGGCCUGAGAGGGUGACCGGCCACAUUGGGACUGAGACACGGCCCAAACUCCUACGGAAGGCAGCAG